This 252-nucleotide ribosomal RNA is filed under the name uncultured bacterium. RNAcentral describes it as "partial 16S ribosomal RNA". It matches the Rfam family "Bacterial small subunit ribosomal RNA", at positions 524 to 776 of the family's 1533-position model. The record is from RNAcentral.
UACGGGGGGAGCAAGCGUUGUUCGGAUUUACUGGGCGUAAAGGGCGCGUAGGCGGCGUGGCAAGUCACUUGUGAAAUCUCCGGGCUUAACUCGGAACGGUCAAGUGAUACUGCUGUGCUAGAGUGCGGAAGGGGCAACUGGAAUUCUUGGUGUAGCGGUGAAUGCGUAGAUAUCGAGAGGAACACCUGCGGCGAAGGCGGGUAGCUGGGCCGACACUGACGCUGAUGCGCGAAAGCCAGGGGAGCGAACGGG